RNAcentral lists this ribosomal RNA (303 nucleotides) under uncultured bacterium. RNAcentral's name for it is "bacterial SSU rRNA". It matches the Rfam family "Bacterial small subunit ribosomal RNA", at positions 355 to 674 of the family's 1533-position model. The record is from RNAcentral.
UCGGGAAUAUUGCGCAAUGGAGGAAACUCUGACGCAGUGACGCCGCGUAUAGGAAGAAGGUUUUCGGAUUGUAAACUAUUGUCGUUAGGGAAGAUAAAAGACUGUACCUAAGGAGGAAGCCCCGGCUAACUAUGUGCCAGCAGCCGCGGUAAUACAUAGGGGGCAAGCGUUAUCCGGAAUUAUUGGGUGUAAAGGGUGCGUAGACGGAGAAACAAGUUGGUUGUGAAAUCCCUCGGCUCAACUGAGGAACUGCAACCAAAACUAUUUCCCUUGAGUGUCGGAGAGGAAAGUGGAAUUCCUAGU